This 674-nucleotide ribosomal RNA is filed under the name Solicoccozyma terricola. RNAcentral's name for it is "LSU rRNA". It matches the Rfam family "Eukaryotic large subunit ribosomal RNA", at positions 36 to 696 of the family's 3401-position model. Lineage: Eukaryota; Fungi; Basidiomycota; Tremellomycetes; Filobasidiales; Piskurozymaceae. The record is from RNAcentral.
UAGCAUAUCAAUAAGCGGAGGAAAAGAAACUAACAAGGAUUCCCCUAGUAACGGCGAGUGAAGCGGGAAGAGCUCAAAUUUGAAAUCUGAUGGCCUCAGGCUAUCCGAGUUGUAAUCUAUAGAAACAUUUUCCGCGUUGGCCCAUGUACAAGUCUCUUGGAAUAGAGCGUCAUAGAGGGUGAGAAUCCCGUCCUUGACAUGGACUACCAGUGCUUUGUGAUAUGUUUUCAACGAGUCGAGUUGUUUGGGAAUGCAGCUCAAAAUGGGUGGUAAAUUCCAUCUAAAGCUAAAUAUUGGCGAGAGACCGAUAGCGAACAAGUACCGUGAGGGAAAGAUGAAAAGCACUUUGGAAAGAGAGUUAAACAGUAUGUGAAAUUGUUGAAAGGGAAACGAUUGAAGUCAGUCGUGUCUAUUGGACUCAGCCGGUUCUGCCGGUGUACUUCCUUUAGACGGGGUCAACAUCAGUUUUGAUCGCUGGAAAAGGGCAGGAGGAAUGUAGCACUCUCGGGUGAACUUAUAGCCUCUUGUCGUAUACAGUGGUUGGGACUGAGGAACGCAGCUUGCCUUUAUGGCCGGGAUUUAUCCACGUACAAGCUUAGGAUGUUGACAUAAUGGCUUUAAACGACCCGUCUUGAAACACGGACCAAGGAGUCUAACAUAUCUGCGAGUAUUUG